ACAGUAACGAUUCAAUCUCCAAUUCUAUGGCAAAGGAGAAAGCAAUUGCAGAGAAAGGGUUCUAUUUGCAUCCGUCUCCGAUUACGACUCCCAGAGACUCAGAGCCCCGGCUUUUGCCCCUGUUUCUGGUGAC
Long non-coding RNA from Telopea speciosissima, 133 nucleotides. RefSeq lists it as uncharacterized. The transcript has 4 exons. The record is from RefSeq and is a predicted model, not a curated record. Lineage: Eukaryota; Viridiplantae; Streptophyta; Magnoliopsida; Proteales; Proteaceae.